Molecule: long non-coding RNA, 5744 nt
Organism: Planococcus citri (citrus mealybug)
Lineage: Eukaryota; Metazoa; Arthropoda; Insecta; Hemiptera; Pseudococcidae
Exons: 2
Source: RefSeq, a predicted model, not a curated record
GAGGAAAUCGCGAUGAGCAUAAUUUAAUUGACCGGACAUUGUCGCGUGGGUACCCUUUGACUUCUUCACUCACAAUCAACUCCACAACUCCUCCAUUUAUAUUCUUGGUAAUUUCGGCUUCAUCGGCAUACGCCAGCCCAGCCUGUGCCUGCGAGUCUUAUAUGUAUGUACGAGUAUAUUAUGUCGGCGGAAUUAAACCGAAUAAACGCAUCGAAACCGCGAAACAGAAACAACAGAGGAAACUGAGACUGAGAGAGCAGAGAGCCGGUAACGAGUUUAAUUAAUGUAGACGAUUUACUCGUAGUUCUCGGCUGUACCGGUUGGUAGCGUGAGUUGUUUAAGUAGUUGGGUAAACCGGCAUGGGCAUGUACAAGUGGAUGGCUUAGAAGAUUAUGUCAGAGAGAGCAAACAACACAGAUGCAGAAGCUCAACAUACUAUUGUGGUAAUGCGGUAUUUGCAUCUACGUAUAUAAAAUACUUACUCUUUCGCGUGCUGAGUUUGUUCUUUAUUUCGUGUAUUUUUUUUACAUUUUGUUUUCGGUGGUGGUGUUUGUUUUCGCGAUCGAGUUUUUUUUCACUUUACAAGACCUCAAAAGUGCCGCGUUAACGUGUAUUUAUUCGGUGUGUCCCUCCACCCUCCCCCUCCCUCUCACUCGACAACCCCGCGUGUACCUAUCGAAAGUGCUUAAUUAACAUGUACGGUUUUUUUUCUUCUUCUUUAGUGGCUAUUAGCACCCAGUAGUGUUGUGUGUUGCUAUAGGAUUGUUGUUUUCUUUCUACAUUCAUCGGCCCCCAAAAAAGGAUAAAUGAACUUUUGAAGGUAAGUGAAAAAUAGAAAUGAAAUAUUUGAGCUUCAGUAAAGCUUGGAAGUGGUAAGUGUUACAGAUCAGCUUCUUCUUUCUCCAUUUUUUUAUUGCCUACUUUAAGGCAAUUUAUUUUCUGAAUUUUAUGGUCCAGAAAUCGUGAUUUUGACCCAGGAAAACCAUGAAUUUAAAAUGGCUUUUAUUUAGAUUGAAUUUUUAUCUCGAGAAAAGAAUUCACAAAGAGAUGAUACCCACUAAGUAUCCCAAAACAUUGGGAUAAUUUUUUCAUGUUGUAGUAAGACGUGAUGAAUUUUGACCUUCAGAUUACAUUUUGACGCUAUUACCAAAAAAUAAAAAUAAAAAUAAAAAAAAAUAAUAGAAAUACUCAUUGUUAAGUAUGAAAUUAAAAUUAAUUUCAGCUCUUUUAAUUUCCAAAAUUCGUACAAAUUAAAUAAAAAACAUGUACUAAAACCAUCCAAUAAAUCACCUUCUCCUCUGUUUCUUUUCCUACGUAAAAUAGUACCUACUUACUUAUAACAUCGUUAAUUUCAUUCUCAGUUUAAUGCUACGUUCUUCUAUUAUAUGUACCUGUAUGCGGUCAUUUUUGGCAUAAAAUUUAUCACGUUUCUUCGAAAUUUUUUCCCCACUUUAUAUAGUGUGUACAAAGCUUUUAUGAACUUGACCAGGUACGACCAUGGCGCGGUAUAGUUAAUUAAAACCGAAGGUUAUCUAAGGAAGGUUUAAACAAUAAAAAUGAAAUUCUUCAACAUUACGAUGCGGGUGACACUUGGAAAAUUUCACGUACAGCUCACGUAUUGACAUUCUCGUAAUGUGAAUUUUGCUGUAUACAAGGUGUCCUCAUGUACCUAAAAAAAAGAGGACAUUAAAUCGUAAUUCAUCAUUAUCAUCGGCAAUCGUGAGAAAUUUGUAAAAGUGUUUCGUUUUAAAUAUAUAUAUAUAUUUGUAUUAUUCAGAAAUUACACAAUUUUUCUACGCUUUUUUUGUGGACCACCCUGUAGAUAAUAAGCCAAUAUGUGUUCUUGAUACUUACCUGAUGUAGCUGUGAGUAAACAAUGUAAAUGCAGGUAGUUUGUGAGGAAUAUCUUACAAGUACCCAACUACCUAUGCUAGUAGAAGUAAAGUACACAUAAUAAUUUGGAAGACGGUCUCGUAUAUUAUAUGCUUCUAAACUAAUAAAAAAAAUGACGCGUAUAUUACGUGAAGUGAUUAUUAUAAAGUUGUAUAAUAUAAUAGGAGCCCUUGAGUACGUACAAAUAGGCAGAGAGGUAUACAUACGUAGCCAUACAUAUACGCAUAAUACGCUAUGGAAAAAUAAAAUAAAAGAAGACUAUGUAGAAAAAAUGAAGAGUAAAGAAAGAAAGAAAAAAACUAUUAUAGAAUCGAAUCACGCCUCUGGAUAUACCGAUUUGUUGGCUGAUUGCCGCGCUUUGACAGCAAUAGCGUGCGAAGAGUAGCCGCCAUACAUAAGUAGCAGAUUCUGCAGGUAUCUAAACACUAAACAGUAUAUAAACAGGGUGCAGAGUACACACAGGUUCUCGGAAGCUGUCGUGGUGAUGGGACCUUUUGAAGGAGGAAAUACGUAUAGUGAUGUAAGUAGAUCCUUUGGUGAGAUGCGGGUUAUGACAGGCAACGGGGAAACAGAUGCGGGAAGUUGGCGAAUUAGUGUAACUGAAAACUGCAGAAGAUAGUGUUCGUCGUCGUGGGAUACGAGUACAUAUUACUAUUAGGUAAGACCUACAUAUGUGUGCAUGUUUCAAAUCCACUCGAUCAGGAUGAAGGCGUGACAAAGAUGUAAGAUGGAUCAGUGCUCUGCAAAGUACUUGUAAUAUUUUAUCGUUUGUGAGAUAUGGUACUGAGUGGGUGAAGAGGAAGACAACAGAUUCGAAUACUGGGCGUUUGAAAAUUGGGUGAAUGUUAAUAUACAGGGUGUCCUGUCGAACGUUUGAGGUAUCUUGAAUUUUUACAUACAUUAAGGGGUGGGAGGAGUUUGAAAAUUUUAUUGAUAUGAAUUCUCUCUUUUGAAUUUCUAAUCACUUAAUGAGCAAUUGUUUUAUGUAGGUAAUUAGGUAUUGAAAUUUCACUGUAAAAAAAAAUAAUAAUAAGUAUAAUUUGUUUAAAUUUUUAAAAACCACCUGCUCGAGUUAAAUCAAAAAAAAAAAUCCGCAGAAAAAUUUCAAAAAUUCCGAAUUAAAGGAGGUUGAAAAAUAAUCUAAAAAAUUUGUAAUUAUUUCUGAAAAAAAUUCUGCCAAUAAUGGAAAUAUUUUGCACCGACAAUGACACACUCUGAUUUGAUCGAAACCUAGUUAGAUUGAAAAAGCAUGUCCUAACCCUCCCCCACCCAAAUUUCAAAAACUGAAGUUCAUUUUUGGAUUUUUUGUGAAUUUUAAAAAUCGAGGAAGUUAUUUACUUACUUAUGUAUUUUUACUAAUUUUUCAAAGUUUUUCGCAAAAUAUAUUUUUUUCACGUAUUAAUAAUUUCCUUUGAACUUCCCCCCUCCCCCCUCCCCCAUUUUAGAAGAUACCAGUUUUAUGUGCUUUUGAAACCUCUUAAUCUUCUCCAUAAAUUUCAAAUUCCACCAGAAGGAGCAAAGAUGAACUUCGGAGUAAUUUUAAAUUUCGAAAAAAAUUUAAAAUGUCAAGUUGAGGGAGAAGUAAUAAGUACUUCCAGGCAUGAAACAAGGUCACUUAAAAAGUGACUUUGUCACUAUUUCACGUGCAAGUCACUUUUUGUCACUAUUUCGGCAAAAAUGGCCAAAAAAAGUGACUUUGGUCACUUUUUCAACGAUUUGUCGUAUUCUAAAAUUUAAAAAACAAAAAAUAAACUCCUUGCAUUUAAAAAACCUCGUUUUUAGGCAUCUCGAAAUGAAAAUUCUCAAAAGCUUUCGCCCUCGCUUCGCUCGGGCCAAUUUGUUUUUCUUUCGAACAUAGGACCCAAGAUGAUAUCUGCUCCAAAGUUUGCACGUUCAGUAACGAAAAUAACAUUUUUUUUACACCUUUCAAGUUUGGAUUUUCCAAAAUUUUCGCCCUCGCUCCGCUCUGACAAAAUGUUCACUGUUUCAGACCUAUUUUAUUCAACGUAUUCGGCUCAAUUUAGUGUAGUGUAGGUGCAAGUUGAUUAUUUUUUAGUCAUAAAACUGUAAAUUUUUCAAAAUUUUGUUUAUCUUCUUACGAAUACAUAGUUAAGUUGACUUAAUUCAGCAUACAAAUUCUAAUUUAGUUCAGUAAAUGAACUUAAUGCUCUCAUUUCAAUUUCGUCAAAUUGUUCAAUUUUUUAAGAAAUCAGCAACUUUUUGCGUUUUUCCCCCUCAAAAGUUGAAGAAUUUGUCAUUUUUAAACCGUCCUCAAAAUGACAACAUUGUCUAAAAUAUUCAAGGUAAAAAAAUUUUAAAACAGUACACAUGAUUUUAUUUCUUCGCCACAAAUCUCCUCCCCCCAAUCAUCGCCCCAAAAAAACUGGCAUCGCAUCAGCACCGGCGCCAAAUCCCGGUAACUUUGAAGUGCCCCAUCAGCCCCUGGGUAUACAUCAACACUUUGCUACGCUCAUAUGGUGGGGGGGGGGUACUAAACAAAUUCUUCGAUGAUUGCUACAUAAUAUAUACGAGUACUUUGCUCACGUUUCUCAAAAUUUAGGUCACUUUUUUCAAAUUUUUGGUCACUUUUUUGCUAUUUUUCAGUCACUAAAGUCACUAAAAAAAAUAAAAUAGUGAGUUUCAUGCCUGUACUUCUUCACACUUCCCCUCCCACUUUUCUAAUAAACUAUCCUCAGGAAGGUGCAGAAAUAAACUUCAAACAAUUUUAAAUUUACGGAGAAGAUUCAAGACUCAAAAUGGAGGGUGGGAGGUGGAGGGGGGUUUGGAAAGCAAUUUAAAAACUACCAAUUUUUUAGGCCAUUCUGAAGCCUCAAAUGAAUUUUUAAAUUUUCUUCUGAAAUUUCAAAUUGCUUUGAAAGGAGAAAAAAUAAACUUCGGGGUAAUUUGUAAUUUGAAAUUUCUGGAGAAAUUCAAAGGAGAGUAGGGGAGGUGGGAAGGAAGUGAACUUUUUUUCCACUACUCCUCCCAGCACUACUUCAAUUUUAUCCAGAAAUUUCAAAUUGCCUCAAGUUCAUUUUUUUCUCUCAUUUCAAAGCAAUUUGAAAUUUCUGGAGAAAAUUCAAAGAGGAGUGGUGGAGAUGGAGGGGAAGUAAGCUUUCCUUUCCACUACUCUUCCCACUACUAAAACUACCAGAUUUAAGCCAUCUCGGAGCCUCCGACGAGUCUUCAAUUUUGCUCCAGAAAUUUCAAAAGCUCUGGAAAGAGUAAAAAAUGAGCUUCCGAGCAAUUUUAGGUAAAUUUCUGAAGAAAAUCGAGAACUCGAAGUAGGAGAGGGAGAAGGCUUGGAAACUGAUACUUGCUACCUUUCCCUCCCUCCCUCCCUCCCUCCCUCCCUCCCACCCACCCUUCCUCCCUCCCUCCACUUCAAAAACGACCAUUUUUGGGCCAUUCUGAUUUUCUUCAUGAAUUCCAAAUUGUUCUGAAAGGAGAAAAAUAAAGUUCAGAGCCAUUUUAAAUUUCUGGAGAAAAAUCAUUACCCGAUGUGGAUGGAGGAGUAGAGGAUAGGGAGGAAUAAUUACGUCUUUUUUACCCCUUCCCCUCCCCUCACUUUGAAAAUCACUAGUUUUAAGUCAUUUUGGAGCUUUCAACGAGUUUUCAAUUAUUUUCUCCAGAAAUUUUUAAUUGAUCUGGAAGUACCAAGAAUAAACUUUGGCAAUUAUAACUUUGGCAGGUCCUUAUUGGACAUAUUUUUGCCUGUUUUAGGUGAUUACUGCAAAAUUCCAGGUGUGUCAGUCUAAAAUUGAUUUUUUUAAUCAAUUUGUAUAGGUAAAUUCAAAAAAAAAAAAAAAAAAAAAUGAGAAAACACGAUUUUACAGUAAACAUUUUAACAA